Molecule: ribosomal RNA, 253 nt
Filed under: uncultured bacterium
Lineage: Bacteria
Description: partial 16S ribosomal RNA
Rfam family: Bacterial small subunit ribosomal RNA
Source: RNAcentral
UACGUAGGGUGCAAGCGUUGUCCGGAAUUAUUGGGCGUAAAGGGCUCGUAGGCGGUCCGUCACGUCGGGAGUGAAAACUUGGGGCUUAACCCCAAGCCUGCUUCCGAUACGGGCGGACUAGAGGUAGGCAGGGGAGAACGGAAUUCCUGGUGUAGCGGUGAAAUGCGCAGAUAUCAGGAGGAACACCAAUAGCGAAGGCAGCUCGCUGGGACGGUACUGACGCUAAGGCGCGAAAGCGUGGGGAGCGAACAGG